CCUACGGGUGGCAGCAGUAGGGAAUAUUGCGCAAUGGGCGAAACCCUGAAGCAGCAACGCCGCGUGGAGGAUGAAGGUUUUCGGAUUGUAAACUCCUUUUGUGAGAGAAGAGGAUGAGGGUAUCCAACGAAUAAGCACCACCUAACUCUGUGUCAGAGGCCGCGGUAAUACGGAGGGGGCAAGCGUUAAUCGGAUUCACUGGGCGUAAAGGGCGCGUAGGCGGGCUAGCAAGUCAGAUGUGAAAUCCUCGGGCUUAACCAUAGAACUGCAUUUGAAACUGUAAUUCUAGAGUAUGGGAGAGGUAGGUGGAAUUCCUGGUGUAGGGGUAAAAUGCGUAGAGAUCAAGAAGAAUACUCAUGGCGAAGGCGAACUGCUAGAACAUAACUGACGCUGAUGCGCGAAAGCGUGGGGAGCAAACAGGAUUAGAUACCCUGGUAGUC
RNAcentral lists this ribosomal RNA (440 nucleotides) under uncultured bacterium. RNAcentral's name for it is "partial 16S ribosomal RNA". It matches the Rfam family "Bacterial small subunit ribosomal RNA", at positions 338 to 795 of the family's 1533-position model. The record is from RNAcentral.